RNAcentral lists this ribosomal RNA (467 nucleotides) under uncultured bacterium. RNAcentral describes it as "partial 16S ribosomal RNA". It matches the Rfam family "Bacterial small subunit ribosomal RNA", at positions 355 to 817 of the family's 1533-position model. The record is from RNAcentral.
UGGGGAAUUUUUGGACAAUGGGGCGAAAGCCUGAUCCAGCAAUGCCGCGUGUGUGAAGAAGGCCUUCGGGUUGUAAGCACUUUUGUCCGGAAAGAAAUCCUUGGCUCUAAUACAGUCGGGGGAUGACGGUACCGGAAGAAUAAGCACCGGCUAACUACGUGCCAGCAGCCGCGGUAAUACGUAGGGUGCAAGCGUUAAUCGGAAUUACUGGCGUAAGCGUGCGCAGGCGGUUUGCUAAGACCGAUGUGAAAUCCCCGGGCUCAACCUGGGAACUGCUUGGUGACUGGCAGGCUAGAGUAUGGCAGAGGGGGUAGAAUUCCACGUGUAGCAGUGAAAUGCGUAGAGAUGUGGAGGAAUACCGAUGGCGAAGGCAGCCCCCUGGGCCAAUACUGACGCUCAUGCACGAAAGCGUGGGGAGCAAACAGGAUUAGAUACCCUGGUAGUCCACGCCCUAAACGAUGUCAACU